AUCAACAAGUGCAGUCCCACGGGAGCGUCUCUCUCCGCCGUUGCUUCAAGGCUGACGGCGGAGCGGCAACCGGGUACCGCCGAUGCUACGUAGGCAUAACUAAGCUUGUGUGACGAGUCAUACGGCUGAUAGCGAGCAAAACAUUUCUUACCGGUUUCGACUUAACAUCCAUUUGCAAGUCCAGUCCUCCGAUAAGAAAGCGGUGACCAUAUAUCAAGGAACUGGAACUCAAGAUGCAACAUAAUGUAUGUUGCCUUUUAAGCCCUCCAUUUUAAGAACUCAGAGCAUAGUUACAACACGUAUGAUGCAACAUAAAUUUUGUUGCAAUUUGAGUUCCAGUUCUUGAUGUGGUCACCUCCCUUUCUCUGAGAGGACUUAAUUUACAAAUGGAUGUUGAGUUGAAAUGCUACACUAGUUAUAGAUGUAAAGAAUGAAUACUAGAGUGAACAAAAUAAGUAUAAAAAGGCUAGUUGAAAUGAUUUUUGCAAAGACAAAUCUAGCAGAUGAUAAACAAUCAGUUUUUCAUUAAAAUAGAUGUUAUCAAUAAAAUAUGAAAUUACCAGCACGAUCAGUCGAUUUGAGAGGAUGAGAAACUUGUUAUGGUCUAACCUUCAACAACUAUAUCAUUCAGUUCACUACGUGAAAUGGCACAGGUGAUCACCACAAAGUGUGAGAGCAAAGCAACAAACAAACUAUAUAAUUCAAGAGCUAGCAUCAUUUAAUAAUACAACUUCUGAGGAA
Molecule: long non-coding RNA, 741 nt
Organism: Lolium rigidum
Lineage: Eukaryota; Viridiplantae; Streptophyta; Magnoliopsida; Poales; Poaceae
Exons: 2
Source: RefSeq, a predicted model, not a curated record